Molecule: long non-coding RNA, 5053 nt
Organism: Anopheles coluzzii
Lineage: Eukaryota; Metazoa; Arthropoda; Insecta; Diptera; Culicidae
Exons: 2
Source: RefSeq, a predicted model, not a curated record
AGUGUACGGGGUCGGUGGUUUUGUUUCUUUGUUUCUUAGCGCGAAGAUGCAGAAACCAAGUGGAAUCGUGGGUGGAAAUAGGCCACACUCGUGAUAAGGGCAAGAAGAUCGCAUGCACCGCAACGUCACAGCAGUGGUUCGAACGAGCAAAGUAUCUCGUUCAAUAAGAUUGAGAGCGGAAGAGAGAAAGGGAGCGUCGGAGAAUGACGUUUUAUGUUAGCGGGAAAACUUGUGUUUCUUUUUAGGUUUUUAGGAAAAUAGGAAGAGAUGUUAUUCUUGACAAAGGAAACAAAUUUAAAAUCGAAGCAACCCUCCAAUGAUCACAUCUGCCGAUGCGGAAGCGACCCUUGUCGCAUAGCAACGUCCGUCUUGUCUUAUUGUCGCGCGAAAUGAUGCAUCGCUGCUGAUGGCAUUGGUUUGCAAUCGAAUGCAUCAUAAAUCAUGACUCGCGCCAGAUAGCCGCAAGCGCGCAUCACGUCAUCCCGAUUUCGAUCAAAACGUCCUGCCCUCUAUUGGAUGACGCGAUGUUACGUGCACCUCACCGGACAGCACACAAAAUCGACAGUGGAUAGCGGAAGAACCCCAUCGCCCCCCUCCGCUGUUCGUUCGUCCUGUGACACCAAUAGCUAGCCGGAAGUGGCCACUUUCUUCACGCCAUAAUCUAGGUUAAUGGGGAAACUUUUACCCGGUUCGGUUUUGCAUGUUGCGAACGUGUUUUGCUUGGCACAGGGAUAAUUAACGGACUAAAUAUGCAUUCGCUGCCGCUCGUGCCCAUCGCAUGCAUAUUCAGACGGGUCGAUUGAUUACCUCGCCCGAGCAUUAGCUCUUCAGGGGAGAAAAAAUGGAUGGACGAGAGCGGGGGUGCCCUUUCGGUGCCGUUUAAUUUCAAGUGAACACGAAUCGUAAUCGAUACUUGUGUCAAUGUUGCAAAUCUAUCGCGGCAAGGGAUUAACUAGAACGAACCGGCCCAACCUACUACUACUGUGCAGUGUGCCGGUUGAGAAUCCACUUUUCCGCUGGUUCAGCAGGUUCGAUGGGCGGAUUGUGUUGGCUGCGAUUAAACCCGUCCCAUUAAACGCUUAGAGAAGUGACACAUAGUGAUAGUAGCAGUAACUACUUGCAUCACCUUAUCUUGAAUCGUUUGCUAUCAGCACUUGAAAGAAAGUGUGAUGGCGCAGUUUUGUAGAGAGUAAGGUGAUAUGGCGCUGUGCGAUUAGUUCCAGCUGUUCUGGAAAGGUUCAUGUUUGCUAUAUUAUGUAAACUAUCUCUUUACAUUUGAUGAGAGCUUUAACGAGCUUUAAGUCAAAUUGUGAGAAGUGCAGGUAAUUGAUGAUUAAUUAAGGUUUAGUUUUGUUUUUUUUUUACAGAUACAGAUACAGUACAUGCACUAAAUUGAUGGUUCACCCAACUUUUUGGCAGGUUUUUGCCAAUAUCUUAAACAAUUCUAAUACUUUCUUAAUAUGUCUAAAGCAUUCGAUUUUGUUUUUAUUUAAAAAUGGAAAUUUUUGAUACUAAAGUGAUCAUAUUUCAACCAAAAUGUAAAAAAAAACCCAAGAUUCGAAGUUAAAUAAUGGUUGGUAAACCUAUGCUAGGUUGAACGAACGUUUGAGGUUUUAUUUUAAUUAUUUUUCAUAAGCAACAAGGACAAUUGGCCUCCUCAGACUGGCCGUCAGUGGUCAGUGGACCCCAUCCUGUAGAUAAGAAGUGCAUUGGAAUAAUUAAUCUAAAAUCCUAUUAUAAUCUAUCAGUGGGGCCCUUCACGAUUCUAGUUAGUUUUUUUUAUGGAGUUUGACAGUUGGAGGCUGAAAUCAUGUAAACACUCCAUACAAAACCACACAAAAAAAAGGCCGGCAAUUUUCAGUCUAGAUUAUUCUAGCCUCAAAGCUAGAAUUAGAUUCGAGUAUUCGACAAAUGGCAAAACAAGGUGGUGUUUUCAUUUAUCCCAAGGUGUAUUAAAGAGAUCUGGUGAUGGAAUCUAGAAUCAAGUGUAGUCCAGGUGGUCUCAUAGCAUGUUUUUCAAACCAAAUUUGAAUAUCACUUUUUGACAGGAUGGGUGAAAACUUUUGUUCAAACAAGCUUUCUGGAGGCUUGACAAAUACACAAAACACUCUUAAAAUCUUCAUUCAGAAGCAGAAGCGAUAAAAAUCAGCCUUCUAAAUUCAUACACCUUGGGAUAAGCCCACCUGUAUAUUAUACCUACUCAGAUAGCUGCUCGAAAACUGCUACACAAUGCAAACAGCUGACAGGAUGAAAUUUCAGCCUACGAACCAAGGUGGAUUUAAAAAUAUCAGGUGGUGGACUCUAGUGCAUUUUGACAAUUCGUCACUUGACGUAAGGUCCCCAGGAUUCAAACUUUGUUUACAUUUAUUAAAUUUGCUCAUAUAAUUUAUCUACCCCAUUUUUUCGAUUAAAUAUUCUUUAGAAAAAAAAUUUGGACUUUGCGAGUUCUUAUUUAACAUUAAAACAUAGAUCAAAGUGAGUUAUUUUGUGUUAUUCCGUGAAUUUAUUCUAUAAAUCAUUGUGUUUUCGACAUUUUUGAUGAUAAAUACUAAGAAAUCGUUAUUUUUUUCCAAUUUUCACAUUAUUUCCUAAUUAUCUACGAGCCGCAUGGACAAUUUACGUGAGAUAAGAACUCUUACUCACAUGAUUUUAAAUUUCGUGCAUAAACAAAUUAUCAAAUCUUUUGUUAACAAAUCUCAUUUUUUCGAUAAAAUCAAUAGACACACAAAAAUCAACAUAAUAACAAAGAAAUCUGUUCUAUUUGCUAAGCAUUGUGUGCGGAAACCAAUGGUUAACAGUUUUAAAAUGACGUAAAGUCCCUCAACUAUGGUGACCCCCCAAAGGCCCUUAUCCACCUGAUAUUUUUAAUCCACCUUGCUACGAACUUAAAACGGAAAGGACCCCAGCAUCUGCUUCAUUGACAAACGCAAUGACAACGUAACAUUUAUUUAUAUUUUUUAAACUAAGCAGUUUCAACAAAUUCAAUUUUACCAAAGUUAAAAGUUUUCUUAACACACACUUUCUAAUGCUAUGUACCAUACAUUUAGUGAGCCACUGUAUUUAAAUUAUUAAAUUAAAUUAAGAAAAUUUAGAAGAUUCUAUAAAAGAUUCUUCACAAACACACAACAUUCCAAACGCAUCUUCACUGCCAGCUCAUCGGACGGUAAUUAAAGCUAAUUGUUGUUUUGCUUUUCACUUUCCGGAACACCCGUGACAUUAAGCACGAACUGGCUAAAUUAUCGUCCCCCCAACGCAAGCUGUCAAUCGUCUGCAUUUGACUAAUUGUCAUGGGACUAGGAACUGGGCACUAUCGAGCCCCCCCUUUGCCGGGCGAGACCUGUUCAAACCGCUUCACCCACCGGCGCAAAGCCGCAACCGGAUCGAACCGACUUCCUGCUGCUGCUGCUGCUGCUGUUGAUGGGCCGUCCACCUCUUUUAGUGCACAAUUCGAAUUGCGCAACUUAUUUACCGCAUGGGCAUAGGGGUGGCGGGACAUUUGCACUUGCACCGGUGGCAUAGCAAGCAAGUAUAGGGUGAGGAGAACGGGAUGGUAGGACCAGAUCAAACAAAACAGUUUCUUACAUAGUUUCACGAUCGUGAUAGUAAGAGGGGAUCUUACUGCCUCCGCUACCAUCCCGGUAAAGGGACGGUAAACAGUUCCCAGCGUUCUAAUGUUUAUUUAUACAAUUCCUUUACCUUUCCCGGUGUAUCGCACCAGCAACGUGUUCCCUUUGCGCUCCGGUACACUCCAGUGCGAACCGGUUUUUGCAUUGAUUUGAUGUAUGUGUAUGUGCUUCUCUCCAGUCGUCAACGAACGCCAACCAAGUGCCCACCCCUCCCUUGCUCGUUCCGCGAACGAUAAUUCGUGAUGAGUUUAUUAAGGGACUUUGGGUUUUUAAUAGCUACUAGCAGAAGUGCAUUCAAGCACACAAAUGCACACUUCAGCAACACUAUCAAGCACGUUAUCAGGUUGGAUUAAGUGUGGUAAAAAGUUGCUGACACACAGGUAGUUUGGCUCCGGCAAAGGCAUGGUGUAAGGACGUACUUGACUGCCGAUGGGCGAGAUAAAGAAACAAGGCAAAGGGAACGGUAAUCUUGAGCACAAACAGACGAACACAACGCUUCAUGAUCUGAUCAGCAAAUAAUACCCGCAAACAAGCAGGCAAGCAGCACGGGGGAGAAAAUUGCGCCCGUCACGAUCGACUUCCAUCGGGGUUGUUAUUGCUGUUGAAUACAACAUACAAUGGAUGCAUUUGUAAACGCAGCGCAUCAUCUUCUUUGCCGCGGUCAAUGGGCGGUCGUUUGCCCGCGGUGGUAUCCCAGUAGUGCAGUCCUCCCUCCCGGUGGCAGAAGCGCCACAGAACACCCCUCAUACGUGAAGGAAUUGCGCAGCAAAAUUUUCGGUUCAUUCGCUCGUUUCUCAGUUUGUUCCCGCGCUAGCGCCCUGGGAAUGGGGAAAGGGCACACCGCUACGUCACAUCGCACCACACACAUACAUACACGCAAAAAGGUCCUCAAAGAAAAACGCUCAUGUCAUCGCGAUUAUAUCGUGCUGUGCGUGCACCGGCAUGUGCCAAGUGGCGAUGCCUUCAUAAGUGGAAAUUGCUCGUCGCCUUCGCGCGAUAGUUAUUAUGUUGUUGAUUUUGAUGUCUUCACUUCACAUUAGAUAAUUUAUCGUGCUUCGCGUAUUCCAAUAAGAAGUGGAAAAAUGAUUUUUAAAGGUUGCGAAUUUCAAAGCAACACCGUUGGUGUAAAUAAGCGUCACUCGGGCGAUGAAACUAUUGCUAGCGCAAUUGUAUUUGUAUAUUUACCGUCCCGUUCCUCGACCUCUGCGUCCGCCUGCUUCAAUGGUAAAUCAUUCUGUUUACACAACGACGAGCGAUCGACCGAUCUCGUGCCUGCGGGUCAGGAUGGCAACGUGCUUGACUUGGCAUGCUGGACGAUAGUGUGUCAACAGGAUCGGAAUCAGCCACGACGUCUUGCUGACCAAUUUGCUAAUAAAAACUAAAUCAAGUGUGAGUCUCUUUUGCUACUUGGUUUCUACCUUUUUGUA